UUGCUUUCAUCAUAAGGAGCGUGAAUUUAUAGGUACAACUUUUAAUGAUCAUUAAAAUGAAAGGAGGGAUUUCAACUCGCUGACAUGCUUUAUUACACACAUUAUUUUCAUUUUUCAUUUCAAAAAGUUUAUUUCAAACCUGCACACAUUUUACAAUACAUAUAACUGGCCCAGUGCUCCCUGUCCCUGCAACACAUAAAGGCUGAGAGGCCAUGCGCAGGCCCAAUCAAAGUGUUAUACAUGUAUAUAGUUGAGGCAGAUAUAGGUGCAGUACUUGCAAAAACCACCGAGGGGCAGUGAUCAACAAUCAAGCAGAAAUCCCAUCCACUGUAUUUAUAGAGCACAUUUAUAGGAAAAAUACGGUAAGCAAGGAAUAAUCAAUGGAUCAUUAUCUAUACCUAAAACUAAUAAGUUUGCGAUGAUUUAAUGAAUUUAGUGUUAAUCAGUAAAAAAAU
Molecule: long non-coding RNA, 455 nt
Organism: Cyprinodon tularosa
Lineage: Eukaryota; Metazoa; Chordata; Actinopteri; Cyprinodontiformes; Cyprinodontidae
Exons: 2
Source: RefSeq, a predicted model, not a curated record